This 94-nucleotide ribosomal RNA is filed under the name uncultured bacterium. Its description in RNAcentral is "partial 16S ribosomal RNA". It matches the Rfam family "Bacterial small subunit ribosomal RNA", at positions 397 to 508 of the family's 1533-position model. The record is from RNAcentral.
CCGCGUGAGUGAAGAAGGUCUUAGGAUUGUAAAGCUCUUUCGCCCGUGACGAUGAUGACGGUAACGGGAGAAGAAGCCCCGGCUAACUUCGUGC